AACGAACGCUGGCGGCAUGCCUAACACAUGCAAGUCGAACGAGAACGUCGGGUCUAGUGGCGCAAGGGGGCGUCAGGCGUGGGAACCUGCCCUUAUGUUCGGAAUAACUCCCAGUAAGGGGUCCUAAUACCGGCUAAUGUCUUCGAGCCAAAGAGUUAUCGCCUUUGGAUGGGCCGGGGAUGGAUUAGCUUGUUGGUAGGGUAGAUGCUUAAUAAGGCGACGUUCCAUAGCCGGUAUGAGAGGAUGAUCAGGCACACUGGGACUGACACACGGCCCAGACUCCUACGGGAGGCAGCAGUGGGGAAGAAUGGACGAUGGGCGAAAGACUGAGCCAGCCAUGUCGCGUGAGUGAGGAAGGUGUUAGGGUUGUAAAGCUCUUUUACCCGGGAUGAUAAUGACAGUACCGGGAGAAUAAGCACCGGCUAACUCCGUG
RNAcentral lists this ribosomal RNA (433 nucleotides) under uncultured bacterium. Its description in RNAcentral is "partial 16S ribosomal RNA". It matches the Rfam family "Bacterial small subunit ribosomal RNA", at positions 29 to 507 of the family's 1533-position model. The record is from RNAcentral.